AGUGAACGCUGGCGGUAGGCCUAACACAUGCAAGUCGAACGGCAGCACAGUAAGAGCUUGCUCUUACGGGUGGCGAGUGGCGGACCGGUGAGGAAUACAUCGGAAUCUACUUUUUCGUGGGGGAUAACGUAGGGAAAAUUACGCUAAUACCGCCUACGACCUACGGGUGAAAGCAGGGGAUAUUCGGACCUUGCGUGAUUGAAUGAGCCGAUGUCGGAUUAGCUAGUUGGCGGGGUAAAGGCCCACCAAGGCGACGAUCCGUAGCUGGUCUGAGAGGAUGAUCAGCCACACUGGAACUGAGACACGGUCCAGACUCCUACGGGAGGCAGCAGUGGGGAAUAUUGGACAAUGGGCGCAAGCCUGAUCCAGCCAUACCGCGUGGGUGAAGAAGGCCUUCGGGUUGUAAAGCCCUUUUGUUGGGAAAGAAAAGCAGCAGGUUAAUACCCCGCUGUUCUGACGGUACCCAAAGAAUAAGCACCGGCUAACUUCGUG
This 492-nucleotide ribosomal RNA is filed under the name uncultured bacterium. RNAcentral describes it as "partial 16S ribosomal RNA". It matches the Rfam family "Bacterial small subunit ribosomal RNA", at positions 29 to 507 of the family's 1533-position model. The record is from RNAcentral.